Molecule: long non-coding RNA, 207 nt
Organism: Corapipo altera (White-ruffed manakin)
Lineage: Eukaryota; Metazoa; Chordata; Aves; Passeriformes; Pipridae
Exons: 2
Source: RefSeq, a predicted model, not a curated record
ACCACUGAGUCAGUGAAAAAUCCUAGAAGGGAUCCCAGAGGAUCGGUGGGAAGGUCCCUUCCAGUUACUGCUCACGACAGAGACCGCAGUGCAUACAGCAGAACGAGGGUGGACACACGCGACCAGAGUGAAAGGACCUGUUGCUCCACCACCCCUGAAAGAGUGGACUGUGUCAUCAACGCCUGGGGACCUACAACUUAAACUCCA